UACGUAGGGUGCAAGCGUUGUCCGGAAUUAUUGGGCGUAAAGAGCUCGUAGGCGGUCUGUCGCGUCUGCUGUGAAAACUCGGGGCUUAACCCCGGGCCUGCAGUGGGUACGGGCAGACUAGAGUGCGGUAGGGGAGACUGGAAUUCCUGGUGUAGCGGUGAAAUGCGCAGAUAUCUGGAGGAACACCGGUGGCGAAGGCGGCGUCCUGGACCAACACUGACACUGAUGAGCGAAAGCCAGGGGAGCAAACGGG
RNAcentral lists this ribosomal RNA (253 nucleotides) under uncultured bacterium. RNAcentral's name for it is "partial 16S ribosomal RNA". It matches the Rfam family "Bacterial small subunit ribosomal RNA", at positions 524 to 776 of the family's 1533-position model. The record is from RNAcentral.